CGCUGGCGGCAUGCUUUACACAUGCAAGUCGAACGGCAGCGCGGGGCAACCUGGCGGCGAGUGGCGAACGGGUGAGUAAUAUAUCGGAACGUACCCAAGAGUGGGGGAUAACGUAGCGAAAGUUACGCUAAUACCGCAUACGAUCUAUGGAUGAAAGUGGGGGACCUUCGGGCCUCAUGCUCCUGGAGCGGCCGAUAUCUGAUUAGCUGGUUGGUGAGGUAAAGGCUCACUAAGGCGACGAUCAGUAGCUGGUCUGAGAGGACGACCAGCCACACUGGGACUGAGACACGGCCCAGACUCCUACGGGAGGCAGCAGUGGGGAAUUUUGGACAAUGGGGGCAACCCUGAUCCAGCAAUGCCGCGUGAGUGAAGAAGGCCUUCGGGUUGUAAAGCUCUUUUGUCAGGGAAGAAACGGUUUCGGAUAAUACCCGGAAUCAAUGACGGUACCUGAAGAAUCAGCACCGGCU
Molecule: ribosomal RNA, 467 nt
Filed under: uncultured bacterium
Lineage: Bacteria
Description: bacterial SSU rRNA
Rfam family: Bacterial small subunit ribosomal RNA
Source: RNAcentral